Molecule: ribosomal RNA, 468 nt
Filed under: uncultured bacterium
Lineage: Bacteria
Description: partial 16S ribosomal RNA
Rfam family: Bacterial small subunit ribosomal RNA
Source: RNAcentral
GACGAACGCUGGCGGCGUGCUUAACACAUGCAAGUCGAACGGAAAGGCCCUGCUUUUGUGGGGUGCUCGAGUGGCGAACGGGUGAGUAACACGUGAGUAACCUGCCCUUGACUUUGGGAUAACUUCAGGAAACUGGGGCUAAUACCGGAUAGGAGCUUCUGCUGCAUGGUGGGGGUUGGAAAGUUUCGGCGGUUGGGGAUGGACUCGCGGAUUAUCAGCUUGUUGGUGGGGUAGUGGCUUACCAAGACUUUGACGGGUAGCCGGUCAGAGAGGGUGACCGGCCACAAUGAGACUGAGAUGCGGCCCAGACUCCUUCUGGAGACAGCAGUGGGGAAUAUUGCACAGUGGGCGGAAGCCUGAGGCGGCGACGCCGCGUGCGGGAUAACGGCCUUCGGGUUGUAUUCCGCUUUCGCCUGUGACGAAGCGUGAGUGACGGUAAUGGGUAAAGAAGCACCGGCUAACUACGUG